RNAcentral lists this long non-coding RNA (5129 nucleotides) under Lactuca sativa (garden lettuce). RNAcentral describes it as "long non-coding RNA (LSAT_LNC001155)". Lineage: Eukaryota; Viridiplantae; Streptophyta; Magnoliopsida; Asterales; Asteraceae. The record is from RNAcentral.
GAUUUGGACGUUCUUUUUAUGUACGCUCACGGUUUGAUGUUAUCUAUAACUUUUAUUUAGAUACUUAAGGCUAAAAACUAUUGUAUUGAAACUUCGCGUUUUUCGUUUAAUCGGUGUUGCCGGUUUUGUCGGGAAUUUUAGAAUGGUUAUAACUUCCUCGUUAUAACUCGGAUUUUUGUGUUCUUUAUAUGUAUGAAAACCUUGUUACGAUAUUUACCACUUAGUAUACUCAAUUACGGUUUUAUAAAAGUUUAAAUUUUGACCUGAAUUUUGCUGUUGUUACAUUAUCCCCCCGUUAGAGAGAAUUUCGUCCCGAAAUUCGCAUUUUGACUGGGACUCCAAUUCUUGCGGGCAGGCGUGAGUGCUUCUGGUCGAUUUGUUCCUCUUGUUCCUUUAUGAAUCUAGAUCCUAACGUGCGUGUUUCAGCGGACCUUCAUUACUCCGCCUAUCACUUCGAUCGAUCGGGAUCGUGUGGUUUUGGGUUUAUUUACUUAUGUUCUUCUAAAUGUUAGCAUAUUCACUAGAUGCAUUAGGGCAGCUACGUUCUGAAGUUCAUGGUUGAAUUCACUCCUAGUUUCUGAGCUUGGAUUUGACUUGUUGUAUGUGUGGUAUUUCUAAAUGAUAUGUUGGGGGAUACUACGGGAACGUUGUAAAGAUAUAGUACUCCUCACAUGAGUACCUUGGGGUUUUGAAAAUAGAAAUGAAUUGGGGUUAGUGUCGAGUUUGUCGUGAUAAAUCGAUCGAGUUUCGUUAGUCGAUGGUUAAAGUGAAAGGGUCUUUUAUAAAACAUGGAACUGGUAUGGGUAGUAGGGGUCUCCUGCCAGGUGGAAAUCCAGCCAUUGUGUUUAUACGAGAAUAGGGAUAUAAGGAUUGUCUAGAACUAAGGCACAUAAGGUUGACAUCAACGUUAAACUAUCGUAUUCAUAAAAUACUCCUAUAGUAUUCUAAAUGUUAUGUUUGAUUCUAAAGUUUAUAAGUUUGGUAAGUUUUAAAUUUGUUGUCCAUUGCAGACACUCCUUGGCAUACGUUAGUCGGCUCUUGGACAAAUAUAGUUGAUCAGGCUAUAUUCUUCCCAGUUCCGAUUACAUGUCCCAAGGCAUACCUGCACUGCACAACUUAUUUAUAAUACUUCUAUAUUGUUUUAGUUAUGAUACUGACCAUGUUAUUAAUAUGAAAUGAAUGCAUGCCUACUUUACAAAACUAAAUAAAUUUAAUUUUAAAAGUAUGACUCUUACUCAGAGUGUUUUUGCCCAGUUGUGUUUAUAGUCGUAUACCAAAAUGGUUUUGAUAUACUUAAUUCACUAUAAACAAUGCUCUGAUACCAAUCUGUCACACCCCCAAACCAGAACGGCGGAAACGUUCGGGGGCGGAGGACGUCAUGUCAAAUAUCAUAACAAUUGAAUAGUAAAGAAAGUACACACCACCAUAAUAUAAAUAUAUUUGAAAAGUUUACAUGAUUGUAUAUGUUACAUGUUUGCAAAAGAAAUCAAAUACAAUAUGGUGAUCCAAAAUAUGUUACUAACGCCAGCGCGUUAGUCUUCAAAAGUAGUUGCUACCUGGUCUAGCGGUUUCCUGAGAAUACAAGUUAUUUCAAAGAAAAAGUGUCAACAUUUAAGUUGGUGAGUUCAUAAGUGGUGUUUUGAGAAAAUGUAUGCCAUUCGAAAGUGCUUGUAUGUUUUCCAGAAAAUCCCUUAUUUUCUAUUAGAUGUAUGAAAUGAGUUUGAAAGAUUGUUGUAUGUACUAUAUGUAUUUGAACCAGGAAAAUCCCUUAUUUUCCUAAAAGUGAAAUGCAGUCUCAAAUGACCAAGACUGUAAGCUAUAAGAAACUAUGACAUGCUCAAAAGAAUGAUGUUGUAAAUCGUUAUUGUACAAAAUGAAUGUAUUUGAACCAGGAAAAUCCCUUAUUUUCCUAAAAGUGAAGUGCAGUCUUAUUGUUAAGUAAAACUAGUUGUGGAAGUGUUUUAACCUGAGUUUUGAUCAUGCCGAUAAUACCCUAGAAUAUAGUUAUUACCCCUCGAGCAUGAUUGAGUUAAGUAUUACUACGUGCAUGAGUCAUUGUUUCCGCGUGUUGUGAGUUCCUCAUAACCAUACUAGACGCAGUACCUAAUGUUGACGUUUGUCACCCCAAAUGACGGACUGUAGCUAACAGUCAGGGUGCGGAGUUGUCAGCCCCGUAUAGAUCUAUACACACUUGUCACGCUCUCCCUCCAGGAGACUCUGGUUAUAGGUGAGGACUUUCGUUUGGUACAAACAAAGCCAUAUGCCAUCACAUGAUUGCUAACAACAAGUUCACGAGUAAUAUGAUGAAAAUCGUUCGUAUGAAAUGAUUUCGUUUUCUACCGUGUUACAAAAACGUGAUGAUGAGUUGAGUUUUCUUGUAAAAGCAUCAUGUUAUAUUUGAAAUGGUUACUCUUGAUAUGAUGUAGUAUGCAAACGUAUAAAUAAAACCUAUUUCUAUUUAUAAAACAUAUUGUAUCCCAAGAGGGUAAAGUUGUGUUGUGAGGUGUUUUGCAUGAUAAUAACUUCAUAAGAUAGUUUAAAACAACAGUAUGAAAAGUAUAUAAAAAGAUCGAUGUUUCACACGAUUUUAGUUGUGUGUUUACUUGUAUUCCCCCCCUUAAAAGUGUUUCAAAAGCGUUUAAAAAGCAUUUAAAGUGUGGUUGUAGGGGUAUGAACUCACUUGAUUGAAGUGGUUGAUUUGAAGUAGUCGAGAGGAGAAUCGAGCAGAACUUCGACAGGAAGAGUUGAAAACGCGGGAAAAUAUCGGGAUUCUCGGGAAUCUCGGGAAUCUCGAGAACACAAAACCUUCCUUCGGGACUUGAAGGUGAAAACCGGGGCUUUGGGAGGGUCUCGGGGGCUUAAACGCAGAGUUUCGGCGCGAGAAAGAAAGGAACUGAACAAUGGAACUCGGAGCCCUUGAAAUCUACUUAUAGGGGCAUUUUUGGGGUGUGCCACGUCGUGGAAAGUGAUGGCCACGUCGUGGGGAGUCAAACCUAUCCUCUUCCAUUGAUUGGACGCCCUCAGUCACUUGCCGGGUCGCGGCAAGCUUGUGCCACGUCGUGGGGCCUGACAGCCUCGGAUUUUGGACCCCGAACUUGUAAAAUCCAUAACUUUCGCAUACGAGCUCCGUUUUCGACGUUCUUUAUAUGCACGCGUAGCUAAAAAUAUGAUCUACAACUCUCGUUUAGACUUCAUCGGCAAAUUUUGACUUUAUUUUUAAUUAUUUAUUUUUAACGGGCCGGGACACGAAAAGUCCGUUAAAAUUCCAUAACUUCUUCAUCCGAUGUCCGUUUUCGUCAGACUUUUCGCCGUUGCGCUACUAAUGUUGAGACCUUCGAUUCUCAUUUAGGUUGUUUUGGUCAAAAGUAUCUCGAGCUCUAUUUCGAGUUUUUAGCUGUCUACUGCUAUACCCGAACCUUGGAAAAAUCAUAACUUCCUCAUACGAAGUCAGAUUUGGACGUUCUUUUUAUGUACGCUCACGGUUUGAUGUUAUCUAUAACUUUUAUUUAGAUACUUAAGGCUAAAAACUAUUGUAUUGAAACUUCGCGUUUUUCGUUUAAUCGGUGUUGCCGGUUUUGUCGGGAAUUUUAGAAUGGUUAUAACUUCCUCGUUAUAACUCGGAUUUUUGUGUUCUUUAUAUGUAUGAAAACCUUGUUACAAUAUUUACCACUUAGUAUAAUCAAUUACGGUUUUAUAAAAGUUGAAUUUUUACCUGAAUUUUGCUGUUGUUACAUUAUCCCCCCGUUAGAGAGAAUUUCGUCCCGAAAUUCGCAUUUUGACUGGGACUCCAAUUCUUGCGGGCAGGCGUGAGUGCUUCUGGUCGAUUUGUUCCUCUUGUUCCUUUAUGAAUCUAGAUCCUAACGUGCGUGUUUCAGCGGACCUUCAUUACUCCGCCUAUCACUUCGAUCGAUCGGGAUCGUGUGGUUUUGGGUUUAUUUACUUAUGUUCUUCUAAAUGUUAGCAUAUUCACUCGAUGCAUUAGGGCAGCUACGUUCUGAAGUUCAUGGUUGAAUUCACUCCUAGUUUCUGAGCUUGGAUUUGACUUGUUGUAUGUGUGGUAUUUCUAAAUGAUAUGUUGGGGGAUACUACGGGAACGUUGUAAAGAUAUAGUACUCCUCACAUGAGUACCUUGGGGUUUUGAAAAUAGAAAUGAAUUGGGGUUAGUGUCGAGUUUGUCGUGAUAAAUCGAUCGAGUUUCGUUAGUCGAUGGUUAAAGUGAAAGGGUCUUUUAUAAAACAUGGAACUGGUAUGGGUAGUAGGGGUCUCCUGCUAGGUGGAAAUCCAGCCAUUGUGUUUAUACGAGAAUAGGGAGAUAAGGAUUGUCUAGAACUAAGGCACAUAAGGUUGACAUCAAAGUUAAACUAUCGUAUGCAUAAAAUACUCCUAUAGUAUUCUAAAUGUUAUGUUUGAUUCUAAAGUUUAUAAGUUUGGUAAGUUUUAAAUUUGUUGUCCAUUGCAGACACUCCUUGGCAUACGUUAGUCGGCUCUUGGACAAAUAUAGUUGAUCAGGCUAUAUUCUUCCCAGUUCCGAUUACAUGUCCCAAGGCAUACCUGCACUGCACAACUUAUUUAUAAUACUUCUAUAUUGUUUUAGUUAUGAUACUGACCAUGUUAUUAAUAUGAAAUGAAUGCAUGCCUACUUUACAAAACUAAAUAAAUUUAAUUUUAAAAGUAUGACUCUUACUCAGAGUGUUUUUGCCCAGUUGUGUUUAUAGUCGUAUACCAAAAUGGUUUUGAUAUACUUAAUUCACUAUAAACAAUGCUCUGAUACCAAUCUGUCACACCCCCAAACCAGAACGGCGGAAACGUUCGGGGGCGGAGGACGUCAUGUCAAAUAUCAUAACAAUUGAAUAGUAAAGAAAGUACACACCACCAUAAUAUAAAUAUAUUUGAAAAGUUUACAUGAUUGUAUAUGUUACAUGUUUGCAAAAGAAAUCAAAUACAAUAUGGUGAUCCAAAAUAUGUUACUAACGCCAGCGCGUUAGUCUUCAAAAGUAGUUGCUACCUGGUCUAGCGGUUUCCUGAGAAUACAAGUUAUUUCAAAGAAAAAGUGUCAACAUUUAAGUUGGUGAGUUCAUAAGUGGUGUUUUGAGAAAAUGUAUGCCAUUCGAAAGUGCUUGUAUGUUUUC